GGGUCCUACGGGACGCAGCAGUGGGGAAUAUUGGACAAUGGGGGGAACCCUGAUCCAGCGGCGCCGCGUGAGUGAAGAAGUAUUUCGGUAUGUAAAGCUCUCUCAGCAGGGAAGAAAGAAAUGACGGUACCUGACUAAGAAGCCCCGGCUAACUACGUACCAGCAGCCGCGGUAAUACGUAGGGGGCAAGCGUUAUCCGGAUUUACUGGGUGUAAAGGGAGCGUAGACGGCGACGCAAGUCUGAAGUGAAAGGCGGGGGCCCAACCCCCGGACUGCUUUGGAAACUGUAUAGCUGGAGUGCAGGG
RNAcentral lists this ribosomal RNA (305 nucleotides) under uncultured bacterium. Its description in RNAcentral is "bacterial SSU rRNA". It matches the Rfam family "Bacterial small subunit ribosomal RNA", at positions 334 to 653 of the family's 1533-position model. The record is from RNAcentral.